This 497-nucleotide ribosomal RNA is filed under the name uncultured bacterium. Its description in RNAcentral is "partial 16S ribosomal RNA". It matches the Rfam family "Bacterial small subunit ribosomal RNA", at positions 28 to 507 of the family's 1533-position model. The record is from RNAcentral.
GAUGAACGCUGGGGGGGGGCUUAUUACUUGCAAGUGGACGGAAAAAACGAGAACUUUGUUCCUCUGACUUAACCGCCGGAGGGGUGAUUAAAACUUGGAAAACUUACUUUAAAAAUUGGGAAAAUUCCGGAAAACGGGGGUAAUAACGGGAUAAUAAUUUGAACGGAAUGGUUAAUUAGUGAAAGACGGUUUUCCUGUAACUUAUAGAGGGAUCCGCGCCGCAUUAGCUAGUUGGUAAGGUAACGGCUUACCAAGGCAACGAUGCGUAGCCGACCUGAGAGGGUGAUCGGCCACACUGGAACUGAGACACGGUCCAGACUCCUACGGGAGGCAGCAGUAGGGAAUCUUCCGCAAUGGGCGAAAGCCUGACGGAGCAACGCCGCGUGAGUGAUGAAGGUCUUCGGAUCGUAAAACUCUGUUAUUAGGGAAGAACAAAUGUGUAAGUAACUAUGCACGUCUUGACGGUACCUAAUCAGAAAGCCACGGCUAACUACGUG